CAUAGCAACUGGAGAGUCGCGAAUCUGCCAGUUGUAACAGGCGUUCCUGGUACAAUCCUGGGCUUUGCUUGUUUGGGGCAGCUUUCCUUACCGCCUCCCGCGCCUGGUGCGUGAGUUUGAGAGUCUGGUAAGAAAGCUCCAUUAGACACAGAGUCAGGGACCACGAAGAGAGAAGAGUAGCCCGCCACCAACGGACCUGUGUCUGCUGGAAACCUGACGCUUAACCAGCCCGCCCCCUUCGGGAUUGGCCAGGGCCCAGAGGUCCCAACCAAUCAUCGGCCACGGACGGAUUCUUUAACGAGUCAAUCAAGGUUACACUAAGCGUUUGAUCCAGAGCGUCUGCGCAAUCCCAGUCAAUCAGGAGAGCUGAGAGGAUAAAGCAGCCCCGGCUAUCGAGUAUGAUCUCAUAAUAGAAAUCGGUCUGCAAGAGCCUAUGUGAGGAAUAACAAUGUAAACGUAAAAGUAUCCGUCUCGAAUGCUUGGAAAUGCCCAGCACAUAGCUGUCAGUGGACCUCAGCCGCUAAGCUGGUGGACUCAUAGUCUGAGCCUUCCUCUUUGAUUGUACCGUAUUUAUUACCGCAGUGACCUUCCUUUCUCCCACUUCUCUCCCUUCCUCCUCACAUCUGUUUUGAGCUCCAGAUGGAAGCCAUGCCUUAUGCUUUCCUCCCUUUUCAGUGAAAAUAAAAGCAUCCAUUCAUCGA
Mastomys coucha (southern multimammate mouse) is the source of this 701-nucleotide long non-coding RNA. RefSeq lists it as uncharacterized. The record is from RefSeq and is a predicted model, not a curated record. The transcript is spliced from 2 exons. NCBI's taxonomy places the organism in Eukaryota, Metazoa, Chordata, Mammalia, Rodentia, Muridae.